CCUACGGGUGGCAGCAGUGAGGAAUAUUGGUCAAUGGCCGUAAGGCUGAACCAGCCAAGUCGCGUGAGGGAAGACUGCCCUAUGGGUUGUAAACCUCUUUUAUGCGGGGAUAAAGGUGUCCACGUGUGGAUGUUUGCAGGUACCGCAUGAAUCAGGACCGGCUAAUUCCGUGCCAGCAGCCGCGGUAAUACGGAAGGUCCGGGCGUUAUCCGGAUUUAUUGGGUUUAAAGGGAGCGUAGGCCGGUCUUUAAGCGUGCCGUGAAAUUUCGGGGCUCAACCAGGCGAGGGCGGGGGGACAUGGAGACCUUGAGGGCGCGGAAGGCAGGCGGAAUUCGUGGUGUAGCGGUGAA
This 350-nucleotide ribosomal RNA is filed under the name uncultured bacterium. Its description in RNAcentral is "partial 16S ribosomal RNA". It matches the Rfam family "Bacterial small subunit ribosomal RNA", at positions 338 to 685 of the family's 1533-position model. The record is from RNAcentral.